RNAcentral lists this unclassified non-coding RNA (177 nucleotides) under Glomus sp. RNAcentral's name for it is "partial internal transcribed spacer region". The stretch from base 1 to 46 matches the Rfam family "Eukaryotic small subunit ribosomal RNA", at positions 1786 to 1831 of the family's 1831-position model. Lineage: Eukaryota; Fungi; Glomeromycota; Glomeromycetes; Glomerales; Glomeraceae. The record is from RNAcentral.
AAGUCGUAACAAGGUUUCCGUAGGUGAACCUGCGGAAGGAUCAUUAAUAAUUUGCCGAACCUAGCGUUAGCGAGGUUCCGCGAUCACUUAUAUUUAAAACCCAACUCUUAAAUUGUAUAAUUAUGUAUUUUUUUUUAAUAAAAAAGAUCACUUUCAACAACGGAUCUCUUGGCUCUC